This 70-nucleotide transfer RNA is filed under the name Dipodomys ordii (Ord's kangaroo rat). It matches the Rfam family "tRNA". Rfam says of the family: Transfer RNA (tRNA) molecules are approximately 80 nucleotides in length. Their secondary structure includes four short double-helical elements and three loops (D, anti-codon, and T loops). Further hydrogen bonds mediate the characteristic L-shaped molecular structure. tRNAs have two regions of fundamental functional importance: the anti-codon, which is responsible for specific mRNA codon recognition, and the 3' end, to which the tRNAs corresponding amino acid is attached (by aminoacyl-tRNA synthetases). tRNAs cope with the degeneracy of the genetic code in two manners: having more than one tRNA (with a specific anti-codon) for a particular amino acid; and 'wobble' base-pairing, i.e. permitting non-standard base-pairing at the 3rd anti-codon position. Lineage: Eukaryota; Metazoa; Chordata; Mammalia; Rodentia; Heteromyidae. The record is from Rfam by way of RNAcentral.
GGGGAUGUGGCUUAAUGGUAGAGUGCUUGCCUAGCAUGCAUGAAGCCCAGGGGUCGACUCCUCAGUACCA